CUAAAGGCAAGCAAGUUGGGGAGUGUCAGGGAGUGCCUGGCAGGAUUUGGGGAGCUGGUUGACAGUGUUCUUUCAUUCUGGACCUGAACAUCCCCAGAAUUCAGGGACACUUGGAUCAAAGUUUGACCUUUGGCCUGCCAUAGAAAGGAAGUAAUCUGUGCAGUCUAGAUACACUGUAAACUUCACAGGGGUGGAGUUGGGAAUUUUACCCAGAGUGGGACAAGCAGACCGGUUUAAGCCUAAUUGGCUACCAAGGAAACAGCAUAUCAGAGGAGGAAAAAAGAACUCCACCCCAUUUACCAGCUCCCUGGGAAUGUAGCAUUUGCUUCAGAAUAGAGAAGCCAUGUGUGCUGCGGCUCCUGCUGCAAACAGCAUCAGUCAAAAAGUAUCUCCAGAAUGUUCAAGUGGGGAAGAAUGAAGCAUCUCAGGCUUCCCAUAAAGAACCCAGCUGGUUCUGGGAGGCAGGAAGGGAAACAUGACUGAAGUGCUUCUUCUUACAUGAUGCCAGACCACUGAGCCCCAACCCUGUGCCCCUCUCCGCCCCUCCCCCCGCCCCCAGCCAAGCCCCACAAGAGUCCGUGCAGCCUGCAGGGUCUGGCCUAUUUCAAUUAAAAGCACAAUUAUACAUAGAUUUAAGGAAUCUUUGAGCAUGGAGCUUCACAUAAAAAUAUGGAAUGCAGGGGCCAUGAAGGUCUUGUUUCCUAUGUCUGCCCCCUUCACAAAGCUUAGUUUUCUAACUUCUCCUUCACCUCCACUGUGCUGAAAGCUUAUGGUCAAAUCCUGCACUCCCUGCUGAAGUCACCAGGCUCUGUUCUGAAGUAAGUGUGCAGAAUGGGACUAUCUACUUUUUCCCCACUUCUUGUUUAUUUCUGCCUGGGUUCCACACUUUCUUCCCAACCCAGCCCACCCUUAUGGUAAAAAAAACAGGGAGGGAAAUGCCCUUCCUUAAUUAUAAUAUGUUUAUGCCAAAGAACCAAAAUAGUGUACUACAAUGUGCAGUCACAAUUAAGAUUGUCCCCACCCCAGGGAUCACAACCAUUCACUCUAUUCCUCUACUUUCUGGUCCAAACUCUGUAAUUAACAUUACCCAUGAAGACUGCAAAAAUACAAGAACGGAGUUCUCCAUGUAUGGUAACAAGGGGAGCACCCAAUCAAUCUACAGCAAGGGAUUUAGGGGAGGGGCAGGAAAAGAGUGGGGAAAUAUCAAUUUUCCUUGAUUACAUGUUAGGGUGCUACAUCUUUACUCCUGUUCCUACUGUCCUUAGUAGAUAGGAAAAUCCAGCCUGUGAUUUCCCAGAGAUUUAUAUACAUGAAUAGUAGUUUCUAGCAAGGAGGUACUCCUGUUUCACACUUGUGGUAACACUUGGCUGUGAUCCACCUUAAUGAACGGAGUUCUUAAGAGAAAGACUAUUGAUCUCCCACAUUCUCCCACCAUUGCUGCUACUAAAGAAGGUGAACAGAAUUCACCUGCAAAGCUGAGAGCCCCGUAGAGGAAGUCUGAAUGGAUUCAGGCAAAAGUGGAGGGGAAAAAGGAGAUUGCUUUUAAUAGCACAUGGGGUUCAUGAGGAAACUGGUUACUACAUCACAAAAGGGGAUCAAUCCAUCAAGAAAAAUUAGCAAUCCCUUGUUUAUGGAAACAAAGAAAUUCUCUAGAAAUGUUACAAAUUUGCUGUAUUUUUGCCUGAAGAUCUUAUAAAAAGUAUCUAAUAUCUAGUUAGCUAAUUGAAAGAUGUUUUAACUAACAGCCUUCCUACUUACUGCAUAGCUAAGGAUGUUUGCAUGCAAUAUUUAUUCCAUCAAGUGUAUGAAAUAAGUUACACCCAGGACAUUUUUUCCUCCAAUGUCCAUUUCAGACAGUUGGUCUGAGUAACAAGCACGUAGGUCUACGGCCUCCACAGUUUUGGUCAUUCCACCUCCCACUUAGAUUAUUUAGCAAUACAAAAAGAGAAGACACACAUAGCUGUCCACCCUUUUUGAUGACUGUACAAUCCUGAAGGAGCAACAACUUGAUGCAUAGGCUAAAGUUAACCACCCACACACAUUGGUUAAUGCAAUUUUUGAUGAUUCACAUGUACAGAUCUAAAGGCAGAAUCAAGCCCUUUGGUCAUUAUUUUGGAAUGGAACAUCAGCUCACAUUUUUUACAAAUGACAGUUAAGGCAAAAUCCUAGAUUGAAGUCUGUAGCUUAUCUAAAAAGAAUUUUAGCUACACCCCUUAAAAUAAAGCAAAAUCUAUUAAAAGAAAUAUAGAAAAUUGUAUAAUCAUAAUUCUAGAGCAGUGAUUCUCAACCAGUCAGUGUGCCAUGAGAUCCUUUUAAGGAGUGACACACAAUAUUAGCACCAGUAGGUGUGCAAACACCUCCACAAGUAGCUGGAUAAACCCAUUGAUUUCAAGUAGGAAUCCAUAGUCUAAAAGCAUUUGACAUGUUAUGGAUUUUCUAAUUCUUUGCAACAAAAACAUUCUGUAUUAUUUUUCUGUAGUCAAGAAAUGAGUAAAAGCUAAGAGCUGGCAUUUUCCAAGGGAUGCCUCAAGUC
This is a long non-coding RNA of Alligator mississippiensis (American alligator), 2533 nucleotides long. RefSeq lists it as uncharacterized. The record is from RefSeq and is a predicted model, not a curated record. Lineage: Eukaryota; Metazoa; Chordata; Crocodylia; Alligatoridae. The transcript has 3 exons.